This 1521-nucleotide long non-coding RNA is filed under the name Marmota monax (woodchuck). The record is from RNAcentral. Lineage: Eukaryota; Metazoa; Chordata; Mammalia; Rodentia; Sciuridae.
GCUGCUUCCCACCUCCCAGAGAGCUUUCAAGGGCCGUGAGGAGACAUUUCAGCCUGGCACUCCUGCGCCUCCCACGUGGAAGGGAGCAGUCAAGGUGGACGGUCCAUGGUGCGUGACUUGAAGACCUGCAGGGCAGUGGCAGAGCCUCCCUCUGAGCGAGGAGUGGACUGGUCACGGCUGUAGCAGCAGCCUCUGCUCCCUGGCACUCCCAUGCCAGCUUCAUGACAUUGCCCUGGCCUCCUGGCUGCUCUUCUGCUCUCCUGGACCAAGCUGACAAGUCAGGGAAAGGCCCGGGCAGCCCGGACCCACCCAGCUCUGCGGCCCUGGCUAUAUCACCAGAGUGGCCUCAAACUCUGAAUCAGGGUUCAAAGCCACAAGCUGCCUCGCCCAGCCCCACGAUGGUCUUAUUGUCACAGACAAGGGAAAUGCCACAGCUUUCCUUGCUGGGCAUGUCACCAUUGCAGACCAGGGUGGGGUCUUAGGCAGGCGUUUCCCCCGGAGGUGGGUUUUCAUAUUUCUCUCUGAUCUCCUGUCUUAGCUGUCUGAAGCUGCCUUUUAGAGAUUUCCAGGUGGAACCUGACUUCUGGGCGGCUUCAACAAAUAAAUGAAAGAAGGGUGGCUCAGCCAGUGGCCACAACCUCAGUGCCAAGGGUGGCUUGCUCAGGACACCCGAAGAACCUGCCCAUGCUAAGGCAGGUCACUCUGAUUGCAGACGUUCACUGGGACUCCUAGGCACUGGCGUAGUGAGGGACAAGCUCUGUUCUGACAGAACCCAAGCAAGUUGGCUCAUGGGACCGGGCUAAUUUCAGACUCGCCCUAAGUGACAAUCUCCCUGAGGAGUAGGAACCUGAAAGUCACAAAGGAGGCAGCUAUGUGAGAAAGCCCUGCUAGCUGGAAACUUGGACCAGAGACGGUGGGCAGUGGACAGAGGGAAGUGGACAGCACUGGGGGCCGGUGACAGGCCUGAGGGGAAAGGCCAGGUCCACUUACCCUAAGCCCAACCAUGUUUGGCUUGCAUGGGACCAGGGUCAACCCUGGGUGGGGUGAAAAGCAGGGUGAGAGGGGCAUGGUCCCAGAAGCCCUUGCUCUGAAGCCGUGGUGCUCUUCCUGGUAGGUCUGUCCUGUGGAGAGCCGGAGACCUGUUAUUGCUAAGGUCCGCAGCGGCAGGGCCCCCUCCCGGGUGACAGGGGCUGGGGAGAGAAGCCCUGGCCGAGUGUGUCCAUGUGUCUGUGUAUCUGCAGGAGGAUGUGUUGGUGUGAGUCUGUGUCGCUCAUCAGUGGUUCGAGACAGCUCUGGGUGGUACCUCAGCCACCACGCCAAGGGCCACUGAGUCAUAGGGGAGAGGGCCCUUCCCUCCAACUCCACCCUCCAGUUACUUGAGGACGAUUCAUGCCCUCCUGCUGCUGUUUGCUGUCCCCUUUAGCUUUACACCCCUCCACAUUUGCAGAUCUUUUUUUUUCCCCCAGUGUGUGGCCCUUGUCCACACUAAGCAAGCCCUUGACUGCUGAGCCACAUGCCCAG